UACAGAGGUAUCAAGCGUUGUUCGGAAUCACUGGGCGUAAAGGGAGCGUAGGCCGGUCUUUAAGCGUGCCGUGAAAUUUUGUGGCUCAACCAUGAGAGUGCGGCGCGAACUGGAGACCUUGAGUGCGCGGAAGGCAGGCGGAAUUCGUGGUGUAGCGGUGAAAUGCUUAGAUAUCACGAAGAACCCCGAUGGCGAAGGCAGCCUGCCGCAGCGUUACUGACGCUGAAGCUCGAAAGCGCGGGUAUCGAACAGG
This 253-nucleotide ribosomal RNA is filed under the name uncultured Prevotella sp. RNAcentral describes it as "partial 16S ribosomal RNA". It matches the Rfam family "Bacterial small subunit ribosomal RNA", at positions 524 to 776 of the family's 1533-position model. Lineage: Bacteria; Pseudomonadati; Bacteroidota; Bacteroidia; Bacteroidales; Prevotellaceae. The record is from RNAcentral.